RNA transcript from Cucumis sativus (cucumber), 2134 nucleotides. It is a transcript of the gene named asparagine synthetase [glutamine-hydrolyzing] 2, with no coding region annotated. The record is from RefSeq and is a predicted model, not a curated record. NCBI's taxonomy places the organism in Eukaryota, Viridiplantae, Streptophyta, Magnoliopsida, Cucurbitales, Cucurbitaceae. The transcript has 15 exons.
CACUGCAAUUGCGCAGCCUUACCUUUGAUUCUCCAUCUCCUUCUCCCUCUCCAUAGUUGAGCUUUCUGAGUGGACAAGGGGAGCUCUCGUCAUGUGUGGAAUCCUCGCAGUUUUAGGCUGCGUUGACAGCUCUCAGGCCAAGCGCUCACGAAUCAUUGAAUUGUCUCGGAGGCUGCGUCAUAGAGGUCCCGACUGGAGUGGUUUGCAUUGUUUUGAAAACUGUUAUCUUGCUCAUCAACGGUUAGCUAUUGUAGACCCCACUUCCGGGGAUCAACCCCUUUAUAAUGAAGACAAGACCGUUGUUGUUACGGUUAAUGGAGAGAUCUACAACCACAAGGAAUUGAGAGAGAAGCUGAAGGGUCAUCAAUUCCGAACUGGAAGUGACUGUGAAGUGAUUGCCCACCUUUAUGAAGAAUAUGGAGAAGAGUUUGUGGACAUGUUGGAUGGAAUGUUUUCCUUCGUCCUUCUUGAUACUCGUAGCAAAACUUUUAUUGCAGCUAGGGAUGCUAUUGGGAUCACUCCACUAUAUAUGGGAUGGGGUCUUGAUGGAUCAAUCUGGUUUGCUUCUGAGAUGAAAGCUCUUAGUGAUGACUGUGAGAGAUUUGUUUCUUUUCUUCCUGGUCAUAUAUAUUCUAGCAAACAAGGAGAAUUAAGAAGAUGGUAUAACCCUCCUUGGUUCACAGAGAUGGUACCAUCAGGUUCCUAUGAUCCUUUGGUUCUACGUAAUGCAUUUGAGAAGGCUGUUACUAAAAGACUUAUGACAGAUGUGCCAUUUGGAGUCCUUUUAUCUGGAGGAUUGGAUUCAUCACUGGUUGCUGCUGUUGCCUGCCGGCAUUUGGCUGAUUCUGAAGCAGCUCGUCAGUGGGGGUCGCAAUUACACACCUUCUGUGUUGGAUUGAAGGGUUCUCCUGAUCUUAGUGCUGCUAGAGAGGUAGCUGAUUACCUUGGAACUCGUCAUCAUGAGUUCCACUUUACUGUGCAGGAAGGUAUAGAUGCGCUUGAGGAAGUUAUUUACCACAUUGAGACAUAUGAUGUGACCACUAUCAGAGCUAGCACACCUAUGUUCCUUAUGUCCCGGAAAAUCAAAUCUUUGGGAGUGAAAAUGGUUCUUUCAGGAGAAGGUUCAGAUGAAAUUUUUGGAGGUUACUUGUACUUCCACAAGGCACCAAACAAAAAGGAGUUUCAUGAAGAAACAUGCAGAAAGAUUAAAGCACUUCAUUUAUAUGACUGUUUGAGGGCCAAUAAGUCAACCUCAGCGUGGGGUCUUGAGGCUCGUGUCCCUUUUCUUGAUAAAGAAUUUAUAAACAUAGCCAUGAGCAUAGAUCCUGAAUGGAAAAUGAUCAGGCGUGAUAUUGGGAGAAUAGAGAAAUGGAUCUUGCGCAAUGCAUUUGAUGAUGAGAAGGAACCAUAUUUGCCCAAGCACAUAUUGUACAGGCAAAAAGAACAAUUCAGUGACGGUGUUGGAUACAGUUGGAUUGACGGUUUGAAGGAUCACGCUGAGAAACAAGUGACUGAUGCGAUGUUGGUGAAUGCUAACUUUAUCUACCCAGAAAAUACUCCUACCACUAAAGAAGCAUAUUACUACCGAACAAUAUUUGAGAAAUUCUUCCCGAAGAAUGCUGCUAGAUCAACUGUCCCAGGAGGUCCAAGCGUGGCAUGCAGUACAGCAAAAGCAGUGGAAUGGGACGCUGCAUGGUCCAAAAAUCUGGAUCCCUCUGGUCGUGCUGCACUGGGUGUUCAUGUAGCUGCAUAUGACGAAAAGCUGAAUGCUAAAAUUGCUAAUGUACCGAAUGACUCUCCCCAAGAAAUCAAAGUAACAGUCGAGAAAGCUGCAGCUGUAGUAUAGUUCAAGUCCAGUCCUAGUUUGUGGCAUCCUCAUAUGAAUGAAGUUCAUUCUCAAGUAAAAAGAUGCUGUUAUGAAGACUAGUCUUGAAAUUUUCUUGAAGACAAUGAUUGGACUCUAGUUUUUCACUGUUCAAAUGUAGCCCAAGUUCCCCUUCCUCUAGUGUUUUUAACGUUUAGUUCUUGCUUCUUUGUUCGUAAGUUACUACAAUGACAUGAUAAUAAAAUGGUAAUGGUCCUGUUUAAUAUAAUUUCCUUGAUCUAAGUUUUCCUUUUCCAGAUUUAUCGAUAA